This 501-nucleotide ribosomal RNA is filed under the name uncultured bacterium. RNAcentral's name for it is "partial 16S ribosomal RNA". It matches the Rfam family "Bacterial small subunit ribosomal RNA", at positions 30 to 523 of the family's 1533-position model. The record is from RNAcentral.
AUUGAACGCUGGCGGCAGGCUUAACACAUGCAAGUCGAGCGGGGGAAGGUAGCUUGCUACCGGACCUAGCGGCGGACGGGUGAGUAAUGCUUAGGAAUCUGCCUAUUAGUGGGGGACAACAUCUCGAAAGGGAUGCUAAUACCGCAUACGUCCUACGGGAGAAAGCAGGGGAUCUUCGGACCUUGCGCUAAUAGAUGAGCCUAAGUCGGAUUAGCUAGUUGGUGGGGUAAAGGCCUACCAAGGCGACGAUCUGUAGCGGGUCUGAGAGGAUGGGCGCCCACACGGGGACGGGGACACGGCCCAGACUCCUGCGGGAGGCAGCAGUGGGAAAUAUUGGACAAUGGGGGUAACCCUGAACCAGCCAUGCCGCGUGUGUGAAGAAGGCUUUAUGGUUGUAAAGCACUUUAAGCGGGGAGGAGGCUACUUUAGUUAAUACCUAGAGAUAGUGGACGUUACUCGCAGAAUAAGCACCGGCUAACUCUUUGCCAGCAGCCGCGGUAA